Molecule: small RNA, 80 nt
Filed under: Salix viminalis (osier)
Lineage: Eukaryota; Viridiplantae; Streptophyta; Magnoliopsida; Malpighiales; Salicaceae
Source: RNAcentral
GCUUUAGCAGAUGGUUAUUAUGAUAAUCUUGAUCUCCUGAGCUAGCAGGAAGAAUUCGGUGGAGAUGAAACUAAUGAAUC